AGUUUGGGAUGGCAUUUUAAGGGAAAGACAAGGAGAGACAGAUAGAUAGACAGGCAGAUUAGGCAUUAGGCAGGGAUUUAGUGACAAGGCCAGGGGAAAAUGUAAAGUCAAAUCACAGGGAUCAGCACAUUUUACCCAGCAAUCGGACAGGAGUUUGUACAAAUGGACUUGUAAGAGCUGUCGACAUACCUCCUCCUUCCUGCUGUCUCUCCUUUUGUAACAUGUUGGCUGCAUAGCAAUCCGACUUUCGAUUCCCGUGCAUCAUCUGUCCGUCGGCUGGAAUCGUUUCAUAGCCAUGAUCCUUGGCUGAAUAGCUGUUGCUCCGAACGCGACCCUUCUGCGCAUCCACCAACAAAGCCGCAGCACUGUCCAGCGGACUGACCCCCAAUCCAUCUUGCUGCUGUUUCCUUGCCAGAAUAGGUGAGCUGUUUUGGGAGGACGGCGAGUUUCUCGAGAAUUUGUGCUUUUUCAUCACCUACGGUUAUUAAUGGUGAGUCAGAGG
Molecule: long non-coding RNA, 502 nt
Filed under: Drosophila melanogaster (fruit fly)
Lineage: Eukaryota; Metazoa; Arthropoda; Insecta; Diptera; Drosophilidae
Description: antisense RNA:CR46144 (Dmel_CR46144)
Source: RNAcentral